This is a long non-coding RNA of Solanum lycopersicum (tomato), 2128 nucleotides long. RefSeq lists it as uncharacterized. NCBI's taxonomy places the organism in Eukaryota, Viridiplantae, Streptophyta, Magnoliopsida, Solanales, Solanaceae. The record is from RefSeq and is a predicted model, not a curated record.
UUCCCUCAUCCAAAAAUAACACAUCCGCAGCCUCAACAAUGUCAACCCAGAACAAGGGCGAAACCAGAAACUCCAGCAGUACGCGACUCGUCCAAAACAGUCACGCAGUGCGCCCAUCGAAUUGAGUCUCGCACGUGUCUCUCUCCCUCGACCUGAUCCUCUUGAAAGUUGGAGUACAAGGCCAGGUGUCUCCAUCUCCUUACAAGCUCGUUCUUGGCUCAAAAUCGGACGACUCUCCCCUCUUUUCUAUUUAAAAAUGAGGAGGAUUUUCGGAGACCAAAGAAUACCCAAAAACUUUUUGGAAUUCUUGGUUCCACAAUUCAAAUUUUAAAACAUUUUGUGGCUUUUUGAGUUAAAGAGGUGGAAUCGAUUCCAAACUCGUUGUCCCGAUUUGCUGCUCAGCACAAAGUAAUCACGUAUAUUUUCCUUCUUGCUAGUUUAAUUUAAUUUUCUCUGAUUAGAUUUUGCAUUAUGAAGGGUUUUCGUCUGCAUAUUUUUUAGUUAUCUUGUUGGCUUCUUGUCUUCAUAAUAUGAUUGGUAGUUUAGCGUUUUCAAUAUAUUAGAUUGUCUGUGAUUGAUUAUAUCCACAAAAACUUGCAGAUUUUCUUCAACUCUAUUAAAAAAUUAGAAUACCCCUUUUGUUUGAUUGUCAAUAUUUACAUUAAGUUAAAAUUAGAAUACCCCUUUUGUUUUAUUGUCAAUAUUCACAGUAAGUUGUGGAUGAUUAAUGUUCAAGUUUGUCACUUUCAUCUCAGAACAUGUUCUGUAGCUUUAAAAAAAAUAAUCCUUUCAUUUCAUGGUCUCGCCUCUUUCACUUCCCACGUCGUUUUAUCCCUCUGAUGGCAUUAUUCUAUCUCCUUAUUUGAGAAAUUUGGUUUGAGAUGAUUAGCUUUUCGUAGUUGUGUUGCUUCUAUGGUUGUUGUUUAAAUUAUGGUUGGACUGGUAUCAUACGGAUCAUCUCUAUUUCACUCUCCUGUUACAUGAUCGUUCUGACAAGUUUAUUGUGCUUACAUUUAAGUGUUAGUUGGGUGUAAAUGGAGCCUGUAGGAGUUUGUUUGGACUGUUAUUACUGUUUGAAUUAGUUUUCUUGUUGUUUCAUUGUUUGUUUAAAUUAUGAUCAGUUGGCGACUGAAAGGGUGCAAAACUCUAUGUUCAAUAACCUUUGUGCCUGUUCUGUGUAAUUGUUUAAGUUAGAGUAUGACAUUCAUAAUUAUUUCCAUUGCAAUUCGUUACUUGCUCAAAUUUCUUAGCAACACCAUGUAGUUAGGAUGACUACGGUUAAGUUCCUUUAUUAGUUUUAAGAAAUCAUAUUUUAUUACUUUAAAAAUAUUGUUCACUGUGUUUUGGAUUUUUUACAUGAUGAUAACUAGAUCGUUAAUUUGACUUGAUAUUAUUCAUACUGAGGUUCUUAUUUUACUCUUUUCUUUUCCUCCUUUUGCAUGAACACGCUUUCCGUGAAUGAGUCCAAUGGACUCCCCUCUCUUGCAUUUUCCUCUUUUUGAGUCAACCUUCUUCGGAGUUGUGAAAGGGAGCUAAUAUUAUUUGUUUAGACACCCAAAAAUACAGCAGCAGCAGUAGCCUAAAUGGCUAAAAGAAUAGCAUUUUAUCGUACUUGAAAAGUCCCAAAAAUUGCACUAAUUGAGGCAGAGUUACGAUAACCUCAAAAGGCUGAAAAUGAGGAGCAAAUUUGGGUUAAAAUGCCUAAUUAAUGAAGCAGUAGCCGCAGCCUUAGAAAGGCUAAAUUUUUUUUGAAAGUUUUGGACUUUCAAAAGUCCAAGCUAAACGACAGCGGCAUCGACCUGAAGGGCUGGGACUUGGGGGUGAAAUAAAAUUUCAGUCGCCCCCUUGUUUUCUUAUUCUCUUAUUUGCCUUGAUAUUAGUAUAUUUUCUUUAUUAUAUUUGAUUGUGAAAAACUAACAACUUUAAAAUUCUCUUCUUGACUUAGAUAAAACCGCCAUGGAGCUCCUCGAGUUUAUUUUAUCAAAUCUUUCUUUUGUAUCUUACAAUUGGUGGCAUUUCAAAUUUUCAUUUAUUCUUCAAACCCUUUUUAUGUUUGAUAAUUUAAGCUUAUAGAAUGACUUGAGAACAUUUUGUGUUCUUUCAUAGUUGUUAAAAAGCUUUGAAUCCA